AACGCUGGCGGCGUGCCUAAUACAUGCAAGUCGAACGCAUCCCGUUAAAUGAAGUGCUUGCACGGAUUUUAACAUCGGAUGAGUGGCGAACUGGUGAGUAACACGUGGGUAACCUGCCCAGAAGCAGGGGAUAACACUUGGAAACAGGUGCUAAUACCGUAUAACAACAAAAACCGCAUGGUUUUUGUUUGAAAGGUGGUUUCGGCUAUCACUUCUGGAUGGACCCGCGGCGUAUUAGCUAGUUGGUGGAGUAACGGUUCACCAAGGCAAUGAUACGUAGCCGACCUGAGAGGGUAAUCGGCCACAUUGGGACUGAGACACGGCCCAAACUCCUACGGGAGGCAGCAGUAGGGAAUCUUCCACAAUGGACGAAAGUCUGAUGGAGCAACGCCGCGUGAGUGAAGAAGGUUUUCGGAUCGUAAAACUCUGUUGUUGAAGAAGAACACGUUUGAGAGUAACUGUUCAGACGUUGACGGUAUUCAACCAGAAAGCCACGGCUAACUA
This 504-nucleotide ribosomal RNA is filed under the name Levilactobacillus brevis. RNAcentral describes it as "bacterial SSU rRNA". It matches the Rfam family "Bacterial small subunit ribosomal RNA", at positions 32 to 503 of the family's 1533-position model. Lineage: Bacteria; Bacillati; Bacillota; Bacilli; Lactobacillales; Lactobacillaceae. RNAcentral also lists the same sequence under 1 other name. The record is from RNAcentral.